GGAUGAACGCUGGCGGCGUGCCUACUACAUGCAAGUCGAGCGAACAGACGAGGAGCUUGCUCCUCUGACGUUAGCGGCGGACGGGUGAGUAACACGUGGAUAACCUACCUAUAAGACUGGGAUAACUUCGGGAAACCGGAGCUAAUACCGGAUAAUAUAUUGAACCGCAUGGUUCAAUAGUGAAAGACGGUUUUGCUGUCACUUAUAGAUGGAUCCGCGCCGCAUUAGCUAGUUGGUAAGGUAACGGCUUACCAAGGCGACGAUGCGUAGCCGACCUGAGAGGGUGAUCGGCCACACUGGAACUGAGACACGGUCCAGACUCCUACGGGAGGCAGCAGUAGGGAAUCUUCCGCAAUGGGCGAAAGCUUGACGGAGCAACGCCGCGUGAGUGAUGAAGGUCUUCCGAUCGUAAAACUCUGUUAUUAGGGAAGAACAAAUGUGUAAGUAACUAUGCACGUCUUGACGGUACCUAAUCAGAAAGCCACGGCUAACUACGUG
RNAcentral lists this ribosomal RNA (498 nucleotides) under uncultured bacterium. RNAcentral describes it as "partial 16S ribosomal RNA". It matches the Rfam family "Bacterial small subunit ribosomal RNA", at positions 27 to 507 of the family's 1533-position model. The record is from RNAcentral.